GAUAUCAAUGCAGGCCUGAGUAAGAAAAACAGUAUCUUCUUCCUAAGCCAUGGCAUAUCAGUUAUACAGAAAUACCACCUUGGGGAACAGUCUUCAGGAGAGCCUAGAUGAGCUCAUACAGUCUCAACAGAUUACCCCCCAACUUGCCCUUCAAGUUCUACUUCAGUUUGAUAAGGCUAUAAAUUCAGCAUUGGCUCAGAGGGUCAGGAACAGAGUCAAUUUCAGGGGCUCUCUAAACACGUACAGAUUCUGUGAUAACGUGUGGACUUUCGUAUUGAAUGAUGUUGAAUUCAGAGAGGUGACAGAACUGAUUAAAGUGGAUAAAGUGAAAAUUGUAGCCUGCGACGGUAAAAAUACAGACACGUUGGUUUUCCCAACUUCAGUUGGAUGAGAAGUAGCAAAUCAUCCUUAUCUAUGGCAGUGGCUUCUGAGGAGCUUCUCCACUUAGGAUAGUGUAACAAUUGAUCUUCAAUGAAAACCUUGUCAGACACGGGCUCCAAUACUACAGAAUGAAUAGG
Tupaia belangeri chinensis (Chinese tree shrew) is the source of this 518-nucleotide RNA transcript. It is a transcript of the gene named general transcription factor IIA subunit 2, with no coding region annotated. The record is from RefSeq and is a predicted model, not a curated record. The transcript has 5 exons. Lineage: Eukaryota; Metazoa; Chordata; Mammalia; Scandentia; Tupaiidae.